Molecule: ribosomal RNA, 133 nt
Filed under: Microcebus murinus (gray mouse lemur)
Lineage: Eukaryota; Metazoa; Chordata; Mammalia; Primates; Cheirogaleidae
Source: RNAcentral
GUCUACGGCCACACCACCCUGAACGCGCCCGAUCUCGUCUGAUCUCGGAAGCUAAGCAGGGUCGGGCCUGGUUAGUACUUGGAAGGGAAAAUUUUGUUUAAAUAUUAUUAGACAAUUUGUUACAAUGUAAACU